AACGAACGCUGGCGGCAUGCCUAAUACAUGCAAGUCGAACGAGAUCUUCGGAUCUAGUGGCGCACGGGUACGUAACGCGUGGGAAUCUGCCCUUGGGUUCGGAAUAACAGCGGGAAACUGCUGCUAAUACCGGAUGAUGACGUAAGUCCAAAGAUUUAUCGCCCAGGGAUGAGCCCGCGUAGGAUUAGGUAGUUGGUGGGGUAAAGGCCUACCAAGCCUACGAUCCUUAGCUGGUCUGAGAGGAUGAUCAGCCACACUGGGACUGAGACACGGCCCAGACUCCUACGGGAGGCAGCAGUAGGGAAUAUUGGACAAUGGGGGCAACCCUGAUCCAGCAAUGCCGCGUGAGUGAUGAAGGCCUUAGGGUUGUAAAGCUCUUUUACCCGGGAUGAUAAUGACAGUACCGGGAGAAUAAGCCCCGGCUAACUCCGUGCCAGCCGCCGCAGUAA
RNAcentral lists this ribosomal RNA (449 nucleotides) under uncultured bacterium. RNAcentral's name for it is "partial 16S ribosomal RNA". It matches the Rfam family "Bacterial small subunit ribosomal RNA", at positions 29 to 523 of the family's 1533-position model. The record is from RNAcentral.